Long non-coding RNA from Dermacentor silvarum, 825 nucleotides. RefSeq lists it as uncharacterized. The transcript is spliced from 3 exons. The record is from RefSeq and is a predicted model, not a curated record. Lineage: Eukaryota; Metazoa; Arthropoda; Arachnida; Ixodida; Ixodidae.
UUUCGCGUGCUACAUUCACACUUUGAAUUAUAUGAAUUCCCAAUAGAUUGUCCUUGAAACCGGCAUUAUACUUUUGUUUGUUUCCUUUGCUUUAAAGUCUUUGUAUUAUAAAAUGUGCUUUUUUGAUAAGCAUUCGCCAAGGUUUUUAGUUUCUCGAUCGUCAGUAAAUUAUCUCUUUAAUUGUUCUUUUUUCAUUCUUACUUUCCUUUGCCCGCGUCACAACUACAUUCAGCCUUGUUUUGAAGGAAUAAUGCUGAUCGAAAGAGGGAGUGUCGAAUUGGUGUGAAUUUCCGCAUCGUUAAUAAGCACUGUCAAAACCUGUGAGUUGCAGCGCCUGGUGACUUAUACGCAUGCCAGCUGAGAGCAUGCUCAGAAAUGGUUACUCUUCUAGAUCAUUCUUAGAGUACAACUACGUGUACUGUCCAUCAACCUGAGUUCCAGAUGGUUGGAAGGACACCCACCUAUUAGGAAGAACCUUGGAGUGGGCUAGGCUGGUCCAUCAUGGAAUACGGAUUCACGCACACAAGACAAGACAAGGACACGAAGAACGACAGUGCCAACUCGUGAGCAUCUCACGAAAGACCACCGCCACAACCUACACCAUAAGAUUUAAAGAAAAGAAAAACCACGCACCAUUUACGACACUGAAGAACUAAGCUAUCAGACUUUUUACAUUUGUUUUUUUACUGAGUUUAUCGUUUUUGACCUCAUUAUUUUAUACUCUUUCUGGGUGCACUUUCUUCCGAGCAAGGUAUACAUUUCUUCUAGGCAAAUUAUUCCCUGGUAGGGCUGUCCGCUGUAUCAGAGGUAAGUUGGUUAUUUCGU